Molecule: non-coding RNA, 1063 nt
Organism: Cucurbita pepo subsp. pepo (vegetable marrow)
Lineage: Eukaryota; Viridiplantae; Streptophyta; Magnoliopsida; Cucurbitales; Cucurbitaceae
Source: RefSeq, a predicted model, not a curated record
AGUGUGAGAGAAAAAGUUGAGAGAAAACUUGAGAGGAAAAAGUAAAUCGACAGAGUCCUCGUCGGAGAAUCACCAACGAAAUUCAUCCUCUACCGAGACUUACACUCUGGAGCUUCUUCGAGAGAGAAGAAAGACUCGUGUUGUUGAGGUUCCAUCUUCCGUCAAGAUCCGAGAGAAAUCCGCAAGGGAAGUUCAGCCACUGAUUUUGUGAGGAAAUCGGACGAAAUGUUGAGAUCGGAGAAUCUUUCCAAGAACGGAUGAGAGAGAAGGCGACAGCGCGCCACGUGUCAACCGGCAAGAGGUCCGCAUGCGCCAAUAAUCACCGGACACGCGUCGAACGCCGCCUGGGGAGCUGCGGCUCCAGCCUUCCAGCGACACGCGUCUGUUGCCACGCAACCCGACCCGCGUUCCUCGGCUAACACGGUACCCGCGAGACGAAACAAACUGCGACGACCCACAGUCCACCCGAACCGAACCAACAACCCACGGCUGCAGAAAAACGUGUGCGUGUAACACUCAUGCGUGGAACCUGCGAGUGAGUUUGUCCCAGCGCGUGAUCCUAUUGAGGAACAAUCAGUACCUUUUGAUAUGCUAAUUGUGUGGAAACGCUACAUAAGGGCACACAUCAUCCAACUAAAUGGCACCAAAGAGAUGUGGACCCUAUCUAGGGCCUGGACCUAGAAGGAGAAGAAGAGUCGCUCAGAACACUGAUGUCCCGUCACCUGAGGUGGAACAACCUAUACCUGAACCUCAAGAGGAGGUUGAUGAAAUGCCCUAAUGGUUCGAGAGUCCUAUACCACAGGCAUCAAGAUCAGGAAUGAGUCAAAGGAGAGCAAUGACUCAAGACUUACCUGACGUAGACUCUACUGCUCCUUCUCCUAAGGCGGUCCCACCAGUGCCCACCAAUAAUGUAGAGGUUCCACCUAGCCAACCAACAACUAAUCUCACUACAGAUGUACUACAGGCAUUUAUGUUAACCUCUAUGGAGAAUCAGGCACAAAUGACUCAGAUGAUGCAGACACUAGUUACUAACUAGGCUACAGCAACAGGCAAUACAACAGGC